UACGGAGGGUGCGAGCGUUGUCCGGAAUCACUGGGCGUAAAGGGCGCGUAGGCGGCGCGGAUAGUCGGCGGUGAAAGCCCGGAGCUCAACUCCGGGUCGGCCGUCGAUACUCCCGGGCUUGAGCACUGUAGAGGCAGAUGGAAUUCCGGGUGUAGCGGUGGAAUGCGUAGAGAUCCGGAAGAACACCGGUGGCGAAGGCGGUUCUCUGGGCCUGUACUGACGCUGAGGAGCGAAAGCGUGGGGAGCGAACAGG
This 253-nucleotide ribosomal RNA is filed under the name uncultured bacterium. RNAcentral describes it as "partial 16S ribosomal RNA". It matches the Rfam family "Bacterial small subunit ribosomal RNA", at positions 524 to 776 of the family's 1533-position model. The record is from RNAcentral.